RNAcentral lists this unclassified non-coding RNA (856 nucleotides) under Hevea brasiliensis (rubber tree). The record is from RNAcentral. Lineage: Eukaryota; Viridiplantae; Streptophyta; Magnoliopsida; Malpighiales; Euphorbiaceae.
ACCAGGAUUUUUCUCGUAACUCCGAUCACAACAAACUGGUAUUGUUAUUUAUUACAAUACUUCAAAAUUUCACAAUACUAUAACAACUAAUCCCAUAUUACAUGCAUCCUCUCCUCGCUUGUGAUGCAAGCUGCACAACUAUGGUAAGUGCUAAGUGAAAAGUGUUUCUCAUUUCUUAUUUUCAGCGUCUUACUGGAGUUACGAGAAAAAUCCUGGUGUGUCAAAUGGAAAGUUUGGAUCCAACUCCAGUGACUGAAGAGAGAAUUCUGGCUCCACAACUGGAGAAUUGGCAGCGGAAGUAUUGGCGGAAAUUAUCUCAGUGAAAUUGGAUUCAGAACAGUACUGCAAAUUUUGAACCCCUACAAAAUUGUUCGUCUGGAAUGGUGAAACAGAGCAGUAGUUUGAUUCAGGGGUGGCUGGAGAUAUAGAAGAUUGAGAACAAGUGCCUGAAGUUUUCAUGCUUCCAUAUGCAGGAGGAAAAGAGAAAGGAAAUGCCAUCUCUUUAUUGUCCAAGUCCUCAGUAUUAACCUUCAGGACCUUUUGAAAGUUAAAGAGAGCAUCUUGUGAUUGCUGCUGUUGAUUAAUGUUUUGUUUCUGUUCUUGUUUUUCUGGUGAUGCUGGUGGUGCAACUGAUUGUCGGCCAUGACAACAAGUGUGUAGUCCCCGGUAAGUGACAUCAAAUAUGGUGUGAUCAUCAUCUGAUCUUUGCACUUGCUUUGUAGCCCAGCAGUUCUGGGUAUUUCUGUAGGUGCAUCUGUAAUAGCUUCUGGGAUAUUUGGCUCCAAGAAUAUCUUUCUGCCCAUACUUUCUCCAGCUAUACCCAUCGUCAUGGGGUCCUUCCAGGCCAUUCUCAGAA